GUCGUGAGACAGGUUAGUUUUACCCUACUGACAAGUAGUGGUCCAUUAGGGCCUUUGUACCUCAACAGAAUAUAAAACUCAGUACGAGAGGAACUGUUUUAUCAAACCUCUGGUGCAAUCGUUGGUAUGAUUUGACCGUUAUGAGUGUCUACGUCUGUCAAUUAAUGGCUGAACGCCUCUAAGUCAGAAAUUGAUCUGACA
This 201-nucleotide ribosomal RNA is filed under the name Blepharisma japonicum. Its description in RNAcentral is "partial Eukaryotic large subunit ribosomal RNA". It matches the Rfam family "Eukaryotic large subunit ribosomal RNA", at positions 2970 to 3152 of the family's 3401-position model. Lineage: Eukaryota; Ciliophora; Heterotrichea; Heterotrichida; Blepharismidae. The record is from RNAcentral.